ACGAACGCUGGCGGCGUGCUUAACACAUGCAAGUCGAACGGAAAGGCCCUGCUUUUGUGGGGUGCUCGAGUGGCGAACGGGUGAGUAACACGUGAGUAACCUGCCCUUGACUUUGGGAUAACUUCAGGAAACUGGGGCUAAUACCGGAUAGGAGCUCCUGCUGCAUGGUGGGGGUUGGAAAGUUUCGGCGGUUGGGGAUGGACUCGCGGCUUAUCAGCUUGUUGGUGGGGUAGUGGCUUACCAAGGCUUUGACGGGUAGCCGGCCUGAGAGGGUGACCGGCCACAUUGGGACUGUGAUACGGCCCAGACUCCUACGGGAGGCAGCAGUGGGGAAUAUUGCACAAUGGGCGGAAGCCUGAUGCAGCAACGCCGCGUGCGGGAUGACGGCCUUCGGGUUGUAAACCGCUUUCGCCUGUGACGAAGCGUGAGUGACGGUAAUGGGUAAAGAAGCACCGGCUAACUACGUG
This 467-nucleotide ribosomal RNA is filed under the name uncultured bacterium. RNAcentral's name for it is "partial 16S ribosomal RNA". It matches the Rfam family "Bacterial small subunit ribosomal RNA", at positions 29 to 507 of the family's 1533-position model. The record is from RNAcentral.